Molecule: non-coding RNA, 372 nt
Organism: Galeopterus variegatus (Sunda flying lemur)
Lineage: Eukaryota; Metazoa; Chordata; Mammalia; Dermoptera; Cynocephalidae
Source: the annotation of a RefSeq genome assembly
AUGAGGCUGGUGAUUGGAGUAACUGUAUUUCUGAUCUUGGGGACUAUGACUGAUGCUAAAGCCACCCAGCCCAACUCCAUAGAUUCUGCUGAAGGAGGAACUGUAAACCUGCCUUGUAACCACUCUACUAUUGGCAGAAAUGAGUAUAUACACUGGUACCGGCAAAAGCCCAGUCAGAGUCCACAACAUAUAAUUUAUGGUUUACAAAACACUGUGACCAAUGAAAUGGCCUCUCUGACCAUCGCAGCAGACAGAAAGUCCAGCAUCUUGAUCCUGUCCCACGUCACCCUGAGAGACACUGCCAUGUACCACUGCAUCUUGAGAGAUGCACACUGGGACAGAUGGGGCUGCACCUGCACAGUAUCUCCCUAG